Molecule: ribosomal RNA, 473 nt
Filed under: uncultured bacterium
Lineage: Bacteria
Description: bacterial SSU rRNA
Rfam family: Bacterial small subunit ribosomal RNA
Source: RNAcentral
ACUCCUACGGGAGGCAGCAGUAGGGAAUCUUCCACAAUGGGCGCAAGCCUGAUGGAGCAACACCGCGUGAGUGAAGAAGGGUUUCGGCUCGUAAAGCUCUGUUGUUAAAGAAGAACACGUAUGAGAGUAACUGUUCAUACGUUGACGGUAUUUAACCAGAAAGUCACGGCUAACUACGUGCCAGCAGCCGCGGUAAUACGUAGGUGGCAAGCGUUAUCCGGAUUUAUUGGGCGUAAAGAGAGUGCAGGCGGUUUUCUAAGUCUGAUGUGAAAGCCUUUGGCUUAACCGGAGAAGUGCAUCGGAAACUGGAUAACUUGAGUGCAGAAGAGGGUAGUGGAACUCCAUGUGUAGCGGUGGAAUGCGUAGAUAUAUGGAAGAACACCAGUGGCGAAGGCGGCUACCUGGUCUGCAACUGACGCUGAGACUCGAAAGCAUGGGUAGCGAACAGGAUUAGAUACCCUGGUAGGAUAGCG